ACGGAGGGCGUGGCAGGCGACGUGCAGCCGCGUGACUGCGUGCUCUCAAGCGGCGGGCAAACACUCGGCCCUCGCGGAGCCGAGAGGCGCUGGUCCACACCCACGGAGCACCGGUCCGUGGUGUUGAGACCACAGCCAUGUCACGCGGAUCGCUGCCACAAGUUUUCUGUCACCCGCUGCUAGUCCUGACGCAUCGAGACUACAGGUUCCGGCAUGCAGUGCGAAUCGAUGUCAUCUCCCGUCGUACACUGCGAAUUCCGACUACGGGAGACUUCAGACUCCCGCAUUCGGCGCGGACCGCUGUAUUGGAUUGUACGUUGUAGUCCUGACGUCGAGGGAAACUACAAGUCCCAGCAUGCAUCGCGGACCGUGGUCCCACCAUUCCCGUCGUGCACUGCGAGGUUUACAAGUAAACUAUGGGUCGCCGAAGCUAUAGGUCCCGCUCCGCAGUGCUGUCCGUACGCCCGUAGUGGCGGCGGGCCUAGACUCGGUUCUUCUCUAGUCUGCUGCGCGGCGGAGGAGCUUGCGCAGUGGCGGCUCUUUUCAGAGCGGAGUUUAUAGCAUCGACGGCGGAUUAAGAAUGUCCGCCUCGCCUGCUUGCUCCUCCCGGGGCUGCUGUGCGCUAAUUACUCAUCAGGUCCUGCUUGGUGCGCGUAUCAGGCCUACUAAUGGGAGCCAGGAGGCACUCUGACUGGGGACUUCGCAGUUCUUGAAUCCUAUAAAGUAGCAUUCUCAUAAAGCUUGAGUGGGUGACCCGAGCCGUGAACACGCUUCUCUCAAGAGGCGUACACUUGUUACCUCAUCUUCUGCCAAUCCACCAGGCCUUCGUUGCUACGGGCUGUUUCAGUGAACAGCCUAAGCUGUAGCCUAUAGCGUCAGAGGUGUCUGUUUCUAGAUUUAAACCAAGAAAAAAUUUUUAAAAAUCCUUCAAAA
Molecule: long non-coding RNA, 933 nt
Filed under: Mus musculus (house mouse)
Lineage: Eukaryota; Metazoa; Chordata; Mammalia; Rodentia; Muridae
Description: predicted gene 9456 (Gm9456)
Source: RNAcentral